UACCCUGGUAGUCCAUGCCGUAAACGUUGGGCACUAGGUGUGGGGGACAUUCCACGUUUUCCGCGCCGUAGCUAACGCAUUAAGUGCCCCGCCUGGGGAGUACGGCCGCAAGGCUAAAACUCAAAGGAAUUGACGGGGGCCCGCACAAGCGGCGGAGCAUGCGGAUUAAUUCGAUGCAACGCGAAGAACCUUACCAAGGCUUGACAUGAACCGGAAAUACCUGGAAACAGGUGCCCCGCUUGCGGUCGGUUUACAGGUGGUGCAUGGUUGUCGUCAGCUCGUGUCGUGAGAUGUUGGGUUAAGUCCCGCAACGAGCGCAACCCUCGUUCUAUGUUGCCAGCGCGUUAUGGCGGGGACUCAUAGGAGACUGCCGGGGUCAACUCGGAGGAAGGUGGGGACGACGUCAAAUCAUCAUGCCCCUUAUGUCUUGGGCUUCACGCAUGCUACAAUGGCCGGUACAAAGGGUUGCGAUACUGUGAGGUGGAGCUAAUCCCAAAAAGCCGGUCUCAGUUCGGAUUGGGGUCUGCAACUCGACCCCAUGAAGUCGGAGUCGCUAGUAAUCGCAGAUCAGCAACGCUGCGGUGAAUACGUUCCCGGGCCUUGUACACACCGCCCGUCAAGUCACGAAAGUUGGUAACACCCGAAGCCGGUGGCCUAACC
This 660-nucleotide ribosomal RNA is filed under the name uncultured bacterium. RNAcentral describes it as "bacterial SSU rRNA". It matches the Rfam family "Bacterial small subunit ribosomal RNA", at positions 783 to 1440 of the family's 1533-position model. The record is from RNAcentral.